AUAGUGAUUGUGUGUUGGAA
RNAcentral lists this microRNA (20 nucleotides) under Manduca sexta (tobacco hornworm). RNAcentral describes it as "mse-miR-6098". The record is from miRBase by way of RNAcentral. Lineage: Eukaryota; Metazoa; Arthropoda; Insecta; Lepidoptera; Sphingidae.